GAUGAACGCUGGCGGCGUGCCUAAUACAUGCAAGUCGAGCGAACGGACGAGAAGCUUGCUUCUCUGAUGUUAGCGGCGGACGGGUGAGUAACACGUGGAUAACCUACCUAUAAGACUGGGAUAACUUCGGGAAACCGGAGCUAAUACCGGAUGAUAUUUUGAACCGCAUGGUUCAAAAGUGAAAGACGGUCUUGCUGUCACUUAUAGAUGGAUCCGCGCUGCAUUAGCUAGUUGGUAAGGUAACGGCUUACCAAGGCAACGAUGCAUAGCCGACCUGAGAGGGGGAUCGGCCACAGUGGAACUGAGACACGGUCCAGACUCCUACGGGAGGCAGCAGUAGGGAAUCUUCCGCGAUGGGCGAAAGCCUGACGGAGCAACGCCGCGUGAGUGAUGAAGGUCUUCGGAUCGUAAAACUCUGUUAUUAGGGAAGAACAUAUGUGUAAGUAACUGUGCACAUCUUGACGGUACCUAAUCAGAAAGCCACGGCUAACUACGUG
Molecule: ribosomal RNA, 497 nt
Filed under: uncultured bacterium
Lineage: Bacteria
Description: partial 16S ribosomal RNA
Rfam family: Bacterial small subunit ribosomal RNA
Source: RNAcentral